AGAGUUUGAUCAUGGCUCAGAAUCAACGCUGGCGGCGUGCCUAACACAUGCAAGUCGAACGAGAAAGUGGAGCAAUCCAUGAGUAAAGUGGCGACCGGGUGAGUAACACGUGACUAACCUACCUUCGAGUGGGGGAUAACCUCGGGAAACCGGGGCUAAUACCGCAUAACAUCUUUGGAGUGGAAAUUCUGGAGAUCAAAGGAGCAAUUCGCUGGAAGAGGGGGUCGCGGCUGAUUAGCUAGUUGGCGGGGUAACGGCCCACCAAGGCUUAGAUCGGUAGCCGGCCUGAGAGGGCGCACGGCCACACUGGAACUGAAACACGGUCCAGACUCCUACGGGAGGCAGCAGUGGGGAAUUUUGCGCAAUGGGGGAAACCCUGACGCAGCAACGCCGCGUGGAGGAUGAAGUCCCUUGGGACGUAAACUCCUUUCGACCCGGACGAUAAUGACGGUACGGGUGGAAGAAGCCCCGGCUAACUUCGUGCCAGCAGCCGCGGUA
RNAcentral lists this ribosomal RNA (498 nucleotides) under uncultured Acidobacteriota bacterium. Its description in RNAcentral is "bacterial SSU rRNA". It matches the Rfam family "Bacterial small subunit ribosomal RNA", at positions 8 to 522 of the family's 1533-position model. Lineage: Bacteria; Pseudomonadati; Acidobacteriota. The record is from RNAcentral.